RNAcentral lists this microRNA (22 nucleotides) under Rattus norvegicus (Norway rat). The record is from RNAcentral. Lineage: Eukaryota; Metazoa; Chordata; Mammalia; Rodentia; Muridae.
UAUCUAGUUGGCUGUCAGUCAC